CAGUCGCCGCGGUAAUACGUAGGGUGCAAGCGUUAAUCGGAAUUACUGGGCGUAAAGCGUGCGCAGGCGGUUUGUUAAGACAGAUGUGAAAUCCCCGGGCUUAACCUGGGAACUGCAUUUGUGACUGGCAAGCUAGAGUCUGGCAGAGGGGGGUGGAAUUCCGCGUGUAGCAGUGAAAUGCGUAGAUAUGCGGAGGAACACCGAUGGCGAAGGCAGCCCCCUGGGCCAACACUGACGCUCAUGCACGAAAGCGUGGGGAGCAAACAGGAUUAGAUACCCCUGUAGUCCCUGUCUCUUAUAC
This 301-nucleotide ribosomal RNA is filed under the name uncultured bacterium. RNAcentral's name for it is "partial 16S ribosomal RNA". It matches the Rfam family "Bacterial small subunit ribosomal RNA", at positions 509 to 807 of the family's 1533-position model. The record is from RNAcentral.